RNAcentral lists this ribosomal RNA (497 nucleotides) under uncultured bacterium. Its description in RNAcentral is "partial 16S ribosomal RNA". It matches the Rfam family "Bacterial small subunit ribosomal RNA", at positions 28 to 507 of the family's 1533-position model. The record is from RNAcentral.
GAUGAACGCUGGCGGCGUGCCUAAUACAUGCAAGUCGAGCGAACAGACGAGGAGCUUGCUCCUCUGACGUUAGCGGCGGACGGGUGAGUAACACGUGGAUAACCUACCUAUAAGACUGGGAUAACUUCGGGAAACCGGAGCUAAUACCGGAUAAUAUAUUGAACCGCAUGGUUCAAUAGUGAAAGACGGUUUUGCUGUCACUUAUAGAUGGAUCCGCGCCGCAUUAGCUAGUUGGUAAGGUAACGGCUUACCAAGGCAACGAUGCGUAGCCGACCUGAGAGGGUGAUCGGCCACACUGGAACUGAGACACGGUCCAGACUCCUACGGGAGGCAGCAGUAGGGAAUCUUCCGCAAUGGGCGAAAGCUUGACGGAGCAACGCCGCGUGAGUGAUGAAGGUCUUCGGAUCGUAAAACUCUGCUAUUAGGGAAGAACAAAUGUGUAAGUAACUAUGCACGUCUUGACGGUACCUAAUCAGAAAGCCACGGCUAACUACGUG